CUAUGAUCAAAACACUAGAGCAGUGGCCGUUCUCCACCACAAUGGACUAAAACGACCGACGACGAUGCUAGUAGAGGAACAGCAGGACAGCUUUGAGCAAAGAACUAAACCAGUAGUCACUCUCUUCCACAAGGGACUAAAACGACCGACAACGAUGCUGGUAGAGGAACAGCAGGACAUCUUUGAGCAAAAAAAUAAACCAGUGGACACUCUCUUCCACAAGGGACUAAAGCGACCGACGACGAUCCUGGUAGAGGAACAGCGGGACAGUUUUGAUCAAAGAACUAGACCAGUGGUCACUCUCAAAGUACGAGGUACUCCCGUAAACGAUCACGUACUUUGAGGAACAACACGAGACACUCUUAGAAAAAG
This 372-nucleotide ribosomal RNA is filed under the name Triticum aestivum (bread wheat). Its description in RNAcentral is "partial small subunit ribosomal RNA". The record is from RNAcentral. Lineage: Eukaryota; Viridiplantae; Streptophyta; Magnoliopsida; Poales; Poaceae.